This 497-nucleotide ribosomal RNA is filed under the name uncultured bacterium. RNAcentral describes it as "partial 16S ribosomal RNA". It matches the Rfam family "Bacterial small subunit ribosomal RNA", at positions 28 to 507 of the family's 1533-position model. The record is from RNAcentral.
GAUGAACGCUGGCGGCGUGCCUAAUACAUGCAAGUCGAGCGAACAGACGAGGAGCUUGCUCCUCUGACGUUAUCGGCGGACGGGUGAGUAACACGUGGAUAAACUACCUAUAAGACUGGGAUAAAUUCGGGAAACCGGAGCUAAUACCGGAUAAUAUAUUGAACCGCAUGGUUCAAUAGUGAAAGACGGUUUUGCUGUCACUUAUAGAUCGAUCCGCGCCGCAUUAGCUAGUUGGUAAGGUACCGGCUUACCAAGGCAACGAUGCGUAGCCGACCUGAGAGGGUGAUCGGCCACACUGGAACUGAGACACGGUCCAGACUCCUACGGGAGGCAGCAGUAGGGAAUCUUCCGCAAUGGGCGAAAGCCUGACGGAGCAACGCCGCGUGAGUGAUGAAGGUCUGCGGAUCGUAAAACUCUGUUAUUAGGGAAGAACAAAUGUGUAAGUAACUAUGCACGUCUUGACGGUACCUAAUCAGAAAGCCACGGCUAACUACGUG